This 265-nucleotide ribosomal RNA is filed under the name uncultured bacterium. Its description in RNAcentral is "partial 16S ribosomal RNA". It matches the Rfam family "Bacterial small subunit ribosomal RNA", at positions 793 to 1055 of the family's 1533-position model. The record is from RNAcentral.
GUCCACGCUGUAAACGAUGGGCACUAGGUGUCCGGGGUAUUGACCCCCUGGGUGCCGCAGCUAACGCAUUAAGUGCCCCGCCUGGGGAGUACGGUCGCAAGAUUAAAACUCAAAGGAAUUGACGGGGGCCCGCACAAGCGGUGGAGCAUGUGGUUCAAUUCGACGCAACGCGAAGAACCUUACCUGGGCUAGACAACAGCGGACAAUCCUAGAGAUAGGACUUUCCCUUCGGGGACCGCUGGUUCAGGUGCUGCAUGGCUGUCGU